RNAcentral lists this ribosomal RNA (144 nucleotides) under uncultured bacterium. Its description in RNAcentral is "partial 16S ribosomal RNA". It matches the Rfam family "Bacterial small subunit ribosomal RNA", at positions 355 to 491 of the family's 1533-position model. The record is from RNAcentral.
UGGGGAAUUUUGGACAAUGGGCGAAAGCCUGAUCCAGCCAUGCCGCGUGAGUGAAGAAGGCCUUCGGGUUGUAAAGCUCUUUUAGUCGGAAAGAAAGAGUCAUAGUAAAUAGCUAUGAUUUAUGACGGUACCGACAGAAAAAGC